AGAACAAUGGAAUCAGAUCUGGGAGAAUAGAGAAGCUGUUGCUCUACAGAUAUUGCUGAAAUACAGCUUUGCACAGCCCUAGACAGUAUGAUCAAUGUUACAGAAAAAGAUGGGAGAAUCUGGUGUUGAAAUUUGCUUGAGCACUACUGAUUUCCUAGUGGGAGAAAAUGAAGACAACUAUGCAACCUUUUAAACAUUACUUGCUAUCUGGAAGUGGGAAAAGUUUCAAAGUGCAGAGGAAAUGCCAAUUUCAGUCUUCAAGGUAAUGAUUUCAUAGCACACUGGAGGUAAUUUGCUGUUGCUGCUGCUGCUGCCGCUGCCUCCACCGCCACUGCUGCUGCUGCUACUGCUGCUGCUGCUGCUACUACUGUUUACCUUCUUCGA
Long non-coding RNA from Pantherophis guttatus, 384 nucleotides. RefSeq lists it as uncharacterized. Lineage: Eukaryota; Metazoa; Chordata; Lepidosauria; Squamata; Colubridae. The record is from RefSeq and is a predicted model, not a curated record.